Molecule: ribosomal RNA, 467 nt
Filed under: uncultured bacterium
Lineage: Bacteria
Description: partial 16S ribosomal RNA
Rfam family: Bacterial small subunit ribosomal RNA
Source: RNAcentral
GACGAACGCUGGCGGCGUGCUUAACACAUGCAAGUCGAACGGAAAGGCCUCUUUCGGGGGGUACUCGAGUGGCGAACGGGUGAGUAACACGUGAGUAACCUGCCCUUGACUUUGGGAUAACUUCAGGAAACUGGGGCUAAUACCGGAUAGGAGCUCCUGCUGCAUGGUGGGGGUUGGAAAGUUUCGGCGGUUGGGGAUGGACUCGCGGCUUAUCAGCUUGUUGGUGGGGUAGUGGCUUACCAAGGCUUUGACGGGUAGCCGGCCUGAGAGGGUGACCGGCCACAUUGGGACUGAGAUACGGCCCAGACUCCUACGGGAGGCAGCAGUGGGGAAUAUUGCACAAUGGAUGGAAGCCUGAUGCAGCAACGCCGUGUGCGGGAUGACGGCCUUCGGGUUGUAAACCGCUUUCGCUCAUGACGAAGCUUUGUGUGACGGUAGUGGGUAAAGAAGCACCGGCUAACUACGUG